AGGACCGGGGUCCCGCGGCGCAUCCCGCCCGGCCCGCCCUGCGGGCAACGACUCAGAGGCGGCCGCGCUCGGAGUGGGAGAGGUCGAGGCCGGUAGCUAGUAAAGCUCAGAGUAGCCGGCUACCCGGGGCCGGUCCUCCGCGACCGCGAUUCUGCUGCUUUGCCCCGCGCCGGCCGAGUCCUCGUCGCGGCCCAACCCUAUUGUACCGCCCGGGCUGGGCCUGGCCUCUGUGAAUGUACCAAGUGCGCGGGGGACGACCGCCCCCGCAGUUAUGGAGUACGGAGCCACAGCGGGCAGCACCAGAGGGCUCCGACUCCGCCCUGCGAUGCAGCACGGAGAAACUCGGGACGCUCCUUCUGUGGUCGCCGCAGGGCAGACGCCGAGCUGGGGGCACGCUGCCGGCCACGCUGCCUCCCCCUGCGGCCGCGGGUUGCACCCCAAGCCCAGCAAUUGAGAAUUAACAGAUUUACGAGGGCUGGAGAGAUGGCUCAGUGGUCAAGAGCACUGACUGCUCUUCCAGAGGUCCUGAGUUCAAUUCCCAGCAACCACAUGGUGGCUCACAACCAUCUGUACCUCUUCUGGUGUGUCUGAAGACAGCAUAAAUAAAACAAACAAAAAUAA
Non-coding RNA from Rattus norvegicus (Norway rat), 621 nucleotides. Lineage: Eukaryota; Metazoa; Chordata; Mammalia; Rodentia; Muridae. The record is from RefSeq and is a predicted model, not a curated record.